CAAUAGCGUAUAUUAAAGUUGUUGCAGUUAAAAAGCUCGUAGUUGGAUUUCGGGACGGGCCAGUUGGUCCGCCGCAAGGUGUGUUACUGACUGGUCUGUUCUUCUUCGCAAAGACUGCGUGUGAUCUUCGUUGAGUGUGCGUAGGAUUUACGACGUUUACUUUGAAAAAAUUAGAGUGUUCAAAGCAGGCUAUCGCUUGAAUACAUGAGCAUGGAAUAAUGGAAUAGGACUUUGGUCCUAUUUUGUUGGUUUCUAGGACCGAAGUAAUGAUUAAGAGGGACAAUUGGGGGCAUCCGUAUUUCGUUGUCAGAGGUGAAAUUCUUGGAUUUACGAAAGACGAACAACUGCGAAAGCACUUGCCAAGAGUGUUUUCAUUAA
Molecule: ribosomal RNA, 378 nt
Filed under: uncultured eukaryote
Lineage: Eukaryota
Description: partial 18S ribosomal RNA
Rfam family: Eukaryotic small subunit ribosomal RNA
Source: RNAcentral